This 758-nucleotide ribosomal RNA is filed under the name uncultured bacterium. Its description in RNAcentral is "bacterial SSU rRNA". It matches the Rfam family "Bacterial small subunit ribosomal RNA", at positions 28 to 776 of the family's 1533-position model. The record is from RNAcentral.
GAUGAACGCUAGCUACAGGCUUAACACAUGCAAGUCGAGGGGCAUCAGGAAGAAAGCUUGCUUUCUUUGCUGGCGACCGGCGCACGGGUGAGUAACACGUAUCCAACCUGCCCUUUACUCGGGGAUAGCCUUUCGAAAGAAAGAUUAAUACCCGAUAGUAUAAUGAUUCCGCAUGGUUUCAUUAUUAAAGGAUUCCGGUAAAGGAUGGGGAUGCGUUCCAUUAGGUUGUUGGUGAGGUAACGGCUCACCAAGCCUUCGAUGGAUAGGGGUUCUGAGAGGAAGGUCCCCCACAUUGGAACUGAGACACGGUCCAAACUCCUACGGGAGGCAGCAGUGAGGAAUAUUGGUCAAUGGGCGCUAGCCUGAACCAGCCAAGUAGCGUGAAGGAUGAAGGCUCUAUGGGUCGUAAACUUCUUUUAUAUAAGAAUAAAGUGCAGUAUGUAUACUGUUUUGUAUGUAUUAUAUGAAUAAGGAUCGGCUAACUCCGUGCCAGCAGCCGCGGUAAUACGGAGGAUCCGAGCGUUAUCCGGAUUUAUUGGGUUUAAAGGGAGCGUAGGUGGACUGGUAAGUCAGUUGUGAAAGUUUGCGGCUCAACCGUAAAAUUGCAGUUGAUACUGUCAGUCUUGAGUACAGUAGAGGUGGGCGGAAUUCGUGGUGUAGCGGUGAAAUGCUUAGAUAUCACGAAGAACUCCGAUUGCGAAGGCAGCUCACUGGACUGCAACUGACACUGAUGCUCNGAAGUGUGGGUAUCAAACAGG